RNAcentral lists this ribosomal RNA (347 nucleotides) under uncultured bacterium. Its description in RNAcentral is "bacterial SSU rRNA". It matches the Rfam family "Bacterial small subunit ribosomal RNA", at positions 1034 to 1383 of the family's 1533-position model. The record is from RNAcentral.
ACAGGUGGUGCAUGGUUGUCGUCAGCUCGUGUCGUGAGAUGUUGGGUUAAGUCCCGCAACGAGCGCAACCCUUGUUGUUAGUUGCCAGCAUUAAGUUGGGCACUCUAACGAGACUGCCGGUGACAAAUCGGAGGAAGGUGGGGACGACGUCAAAUCAUCAUGCCCCUUAUGUCCUGGGCUACACACGUACUACAAUGGCGACUACAGAGGGCAGCAAAGCCGUGAGGCAGAGCCAAUCCCCAAAAGUCGUCCCAGUUCGGAUUGCAGGCUGCAACCCGCCUGCAUGAAGUCGGAAUUGCUAGUAAUGGCAGGUCAGCAUACUGCCGUGAAUACGUUCCCGGGUCUUG